CCACUACAUUAAGGGCGUGUCAGACAGGCCGAAAUUAGUGUCAUAUGUUAACAAAGAAGAAUGUCGUAUUGCACUUGUCUCGGCCUGCCUGCCACGUGCUCUAGU
RNAcentral lists this microRNA precursor (105 nucleotides) under Patiria miniata (bat star). RNAcentral's name for it is "microRNA pmi-mir-92a precursor". Its record names the gene pmi-mir-92a. The record is from miRBase by way of RNAcentral. Lineage: Eukaryota; Metazoa; Echinodermata; Asteroidea; Valvatida; Asterinidae.